This 298-nucleotide ribosomal RNA is filed under the name uncultured prokaryote. RNAcentral's name for it is "partial 16S ribosomal RNA". It matches the Rfam family "Archaeal small subunit ribosomal RNA", at positions 925 to 1213 of the family's 1478-position model. The record is from RNAcentral.
UAUUACCAGAAGCGACGGCAGGAUAGAAGGUCAGACUAAAGAUCUUACCUGACGAGCCGAGAGGUGGUGCAUGGCGACCGUCAGCUCGUGGUGACGAACUGUCCGGGUUAAAGUCCGGUAACGAGCGAGACCCUUAUGAAUAGUUGCAACCGGUUUAGCGAUAAACCGGGCACUCUAUUUGGACCGCCUCUGUUUAAAGGGGGAGGGAUGGGAGGGGGCGACGAUACGUCAGUAUGCCCCUGAAUCUCCUGGGGCUACACGCGGCAUACAAAGGUCGAUACAAUGAGAUGCAAUGCCG